This 253-nucleotide ribosomal RNA is filed under the name uncultured bacterium. RNAcentral's name for it is "partial 16S ribosomal RNA". It matches the Rfam family "Bacterial small subunit ribosomal RNA", at positions 524 to 776 of the family's 1533-position model. The record is from RNAcentral.
UACGUAGGUGACCAGCGUUGUCCGGAUUUACUGGGCGUAAAGAGCGCGCAGGCGGUCGUUCAAGUCGAGUGUGAAAGCCCCCGGCUCAACUGGGGAGGGUCAUUCGAUACUGAUCGACUUGAAGGCAGGAGAGGGAAGUGGAAUUCCCGGUGUAGUGGUGAAAUGCGUAGAUAUCGGGAGGAACACCAGUGGCGAAGGCGACUUCCUGGCCUGUUCUUGACGCUGAGGCGCGAGAGCUAGGGGAGCAAACGGG